AGCGAUUCGUCGAGUUUCUGCAGAUGGCGAAACGUUCGUGUCGUAGCUAUCGCGAGUCGAUUUAUUACGCGUCCUUUCAUCGUUUAGUUUCGUUCGUUUUAAUCGGUUACGUGUCAAUUAUCGUACAACGUAGUUAAAAGGUCUGAACGGAUUAUAAAACCUAUCUUAACGCGGUAGCUAACAGAAAUUAUUUCAGAUAUCGAGCGGUUCGUAGCGUUCGAUGAUAUGUGUAUCUAGUGAUAAACCGCUGGGGAUUUUGUGCGCUCUCUGUGGCGGGAAAUUGCCAACUCUUUUGAACUUCCUUAUUCAAGCAUUCCGCUAAUAAACUUCUUGGGUAGCUAAUUCACAAUGGAGAUCUGCAUCGAUUCUCUAGAAUCAGCGCGAAACGCGAUCGAAGGCGGUGCAGUUAGACUGGAAGUUUGUUCCGCCCUUUCCGAGGGUGGCUUAACUCCCACACCUGGUUUCCUACAUAAAAUUAAAAGCUUUUCUCCUGUACCCGUUUAUGCUAUGCUCCGAGUACGAGCUGGUGACUUUGUAUAUUCGAAAGAAGAAAUGGACGUGAUGUUGCAAGACUUAAAAAUUUUGAAAGAUCAAGGAGCCGAUGGCUUCGUGUUCGGAGCAUUGAAGUCAAAUGACGAAAUCGAUGUAGAAUCUUGCAAAAUCAUUCUUUCUGCUGCUGAACCGUUACCUGUAACAUUCCAUCGUGCCUUCGACGAAGUCGCUGAUCCUUUCGAAUCUUUGGACACGUUAAUUGCACUUGGUUUCGAGAGAAUUCUGACGUCCGGCCAGAAAGAUACCGCGGUAGAAGGAUUGGAGUUGAUAGAAAAACUGGUGAAAAAAGCUGGAGACAAAAUUAUCGUGAUGCCGGGUUCUAGUAUAACCACGGAUAAUAUUUUGAAGAUAAAAAAGGAUUCUGGGGCUAAGGAAUUUCACGCGUCAGCCAAGAGUAAGAUGUUGACUUUCGCUGGAGGGAACAAAAUUAAAAUCGGUGCUAGCAAAGAAACUCGUAUGCUGGUGACAGACAGGAAAUUAGUGCAAGAAAUGGUUGAAAUUAUAACGAACGCGACAUAAGUUGAUCUCGAUGAUAAGACACGGGCAUUUAAAGCGAGGAAUAAUUGCCUUCAAUUCAGGAACCUGUUUCUUUUCUAACGUUCUAAGCGGAUUGUAAUAACCGAUUAUCAAAUAACGUUUUAAAACUGUAAUAUUCUGGUUUUACUAUAUUUGUUUGCGUUUGUCGAAUAUAUUAUUAUCCACCAGACAUAUAUUUCAAUAGCGACACAAUAUUUUAUUAUUUCUUUAUUCCGCUUGAAGAGGGAAUUGUUAUAAAAAUAAGUAAUUGAUUGUAAUGUAUUAACAGAGGAUCGUAAAACCUAGGAUCUCCGCAGACCGCAAGGUUUUUAACUUUGCUUAAUUAAAAAAUAAAGACGAUCAUCGUUACAAGAUAAAUCGCUAAAUAUUAUUCAAUAUUCCACGCGCUAUGUGUCUACGAAGUCGUUAAAUAAUUUAUCUCGAAAGAAGCGCAGAAAAAAAUCUGCAAUAUUCAUUAAUUUUUAUGACCUUUUUUUAACGGGUAUUGCUGGAAAAUUGAGUUGUGUCGUCAUUGUAGGAUGAAAAUAGUUAUUUAUUAUUACGAGCGUAAUCAGUUGCAUAAUCAAUGAAAUUUGAACGACCAUAUGUUUCAUUUAUGAUGUUAUAAAAUUGCGUUUCGAGUUAAAAUCGAAGGAAAAAAUUAAUUAAAACUACCACGCAGAAAGUUCGUCUUUAAAUACCGUGAUUUGCAUAUAAAGUACAACUCGAUCGUUUAUCGGUGUAAAAAGAUCUUUAUUUGCAAUAUUUUCCUCGAUGAUUCUCCCGGGAUUCUUCUCGUAUUUAUUUACCCACAAUUUCAUGAAUCUGGGACAAUUUUUCUCAAGAUCGAAACUCGAGAUACAUAAUGUUAUCGAUAAUAAGUAAUCAAGCUAAGAUUAGUGCAAUUAUAAUAUAUUUAUGCUCCUUAUUGUUACAAGCGAUGACCAUGAAUAAAAUUCUUCAAAUCGAGUUCGUGCCGUAACCAUCGAGGAGCGCAUCACAUUCUCCUGCAUACUGGGUUCACAACAAAAUACCAUUAUCAUUCGCGUUCAAAUUGUAAUGGUUUCACGAGAAUAGAGAACAAUCAUCCGAUGAUUCAGAGUCGAUGAAACAACUGGAAGCCCUUCGUUACGUAUACAGGCUGUUUUGAAAGUUGCACUCGUCGAGAUACGUUUCUUGGAAGCUGUGUUUCACCAUUCAAACAAUCACGUUCUUUCUUAUAAUUUUAAGCAUAGUUACCUUUAAUAGUUACCUUUUAAACAUAAGAAUUACCUUAAUUUACUCUUACUGAUCGUACAGUAUUUGCAAUACCAGGUCGAUAAUCAAAAAACAUUCUAAAUUUCGAUCAUGUUUCCUAAACCGAAUUUAUCGAAUUUCAUCUCGUCGCCUCAGAGGCUACAACUUUGAACCGAUCGGAUGGAGGUAGUCAUGAAUCAACGAUGGCAACAUUGCAGCAAUGGGAGUAUGUUUGCAACCAACUCGAAUUUGCAAACGCUUGCGUAACCUCGAGUCGCUGCAACACGAGUCGAUUCGUAAGGGGUCCUUGCAUACGGAAGAUGACGGCGCUGUAGACCGCGCACUUUCGAUUUGCGACACAGCCAUACCGCAAGGAAAAGUGCGUACGCGCUCGCACAUGAUCUAUCGAUUCGAAAACCACUUGUACUGUCGUGCAAGUAAAUCAUAGAUACGCUAACUCGUAGAGUCGCUGUACGAGUUUGACGACAGGAGGGGUAUCGUUAAAAGUCGCGGGUUAUAGCUCGAACCAACUCACUCGAAAUCGUAGAAUUUUACAUAGUACUGCGUUAUAUUGUACUGAUGCACAAUGGCUAUUUCUACUGCGUCAACGCGUUAUCGGAGUAUAUGUCUUACCAGUGUCUGUAUCUACUGUGGCAACG
This 2963-nucleotide unclassified non-coding RNA is filed under the name Megachile rotundata (alfalfa leafcutting bee). Its description in RNAcentral is "copper homeostasis protein cutC homolog, transcript variant X1". The record is from RNAcentral. Lineage: Eukaryota; Metazoa; Arthropoda; Insecta; Hymenoptera; Megachilidae.